AAAGGAGCAGAAGUUCGAUUUGGUUGAGUGGACACAGUGAUCUCCAACUUAGAAUUUUUUCUACCUCCAUAUUUGUUAAAACUCCAUCUCAUUUUCCAUAACUGUUUACAAGUACAGUGAAACCUCGCUAAGUCGGAACGCAUCGGGCCGACGGAAAUUUUCCGACUUAGCGGGGUUUCCGACUUAAAGGGAAUCCCUCUUUUUCCGAUUUAAAUUUUCGAAUUUCGCGCUCUAGUUUGGACAAAACGUUUUUAGAUGCUUUUCGCUUGCACGGGGGCGUCAGUUUAGAGUGUAAUGCAACUGUUAAGCUCAAUUCAGUCAAUUACUUGCGUUAAAUAUUAUUUGAAGAGUUAGCGCAAAAAUGUUGGAACUCGUUAACGUUACGCCCUUGGAUGAGCGAAAAUCCUUACGGACGAGCGCCGCCCAGAGAGUAUAGAAGGCGACUGGGGACAAGACCAAUCCACACAGGUCAGUCAUUGCGCAUCUUUUUGAAAGCCACUUCCCCGCCCGGCCCUAACUCGGCUGCACUCAAUAGUACGUCACACUGGGUGCUCCCAUAAGAAAUACAUUGCGUGCACUCAAUAGUACGUCACUGCGCAGUAGAGGACCAAAACUCGUCCACCGGAAUGACUGACCUGUGUGGAUUGGUCUUGACUGGGGAUAGGGAAGAAUUGAAACAGAAGUUGGAGCCGUGAGCAAGCAGUUGCGUACGUUGGCGCGAGAGUGCGCGGCGAGCGGAAUCCCAUACCGCUGCGCUGAUGGCUAAGCGAGAGUUGCGGACGGACGACGGACCUUCCAUACUCUCUGGCGCCGCCGACGAUAGAAGGGACACUGGUUGGUGUAUACACAAGAUAAGGAGCAAGCGUAGCGUGGCGCGGUCCGAGACGAGUGUCUCUGUCAGCAGUGAGUCGGUGGGGGGGAGAGAGCGGAGGUGUUAAGGAGGGAGGGAGUGUGGCAAGAUCGCUUCCUCGCUCUCUUCUCAGUUGCAGCCGUUCUGGCGGUGAGGAGCGCACGUCCAUUGGUAGCUAUCGAAGAAUUCUCGCUAAAUAAAAAAGGAAUUUUUUUUUUUUUUUCAUGAAAAAAUCGACCAUUUUACGAGUAGAAAAGGUUAUUUUUUGAGGUCGGGACUGAAAAAAAAUCCGAGAUAACGGGAAUCCGAGUUACGGGAAUCCGACUUAACCCGAAUUUCUUAGCAUUGUUUUAUAUGGGCGACGAACGGGACCGCACGAAAAUUCCGACAUGACGGGGUUUCCGACUUAAACGAUCUCCGACUUAGCGAGGUUUCACUGUAACAAUGAUUUCAUUCUAAUUGCAAUAACUCUGUAAGAAUUACAAAAACUCUAUUAGAGUUUGAUAUUCCAUAAGAAUGGGUCAGUUGUGCUGGUCAUAGCAUCUUGUUUU
RNAcentral lists this long non-coding RNA (1401 nucleotides) under Bemisia tabaci. RNAcentral describes it as "lncRNA ENSSSA2NGG000633". Lineage: Eukaryota; Metazoa; Arthropoda; Insecta; Hemiptera; Aleyrodidae. The record is from RNAcentral.